GGAAAAAAAGACCAAGGUGAUAUCAAUUGGAGGCUGAUUAUCUGAAGACCAGUCAUAUUUAUUAUUUACUAAACAGUUGUCACGGCAACAUGUAUCGACAGGUUCACAUUAUAAACCAUCGGAAGUCUCGUGGUUGUCACGGCAACAUGUAUCGACAGGUUCACAUUAUAAACCAUCGGAAGUCUCGUGGUUGUCACGGCAACAUGUAUCGACAGGUUCACAUUAUAAACCAUCAGAAGUCUCGUGGUUGUCACGGCAACAUGUAUUGACAGGUUCGCAUUAUAAACCAUCAGAAGUCUCGUGGUUGUCACGCCAACAUGUAUCGACAGGUUCACAUUAUAAACCAUCAGAAGUCUCGUGGUUGUCACGCCAACAUGUAUCGACAGGUUCACAUUAUAAACCAUCAGAAGUCUCGUGGUUGCCAUGCCAACAUGUAUUGACAGGUUCACAUUAAAACUUCCACACACGGAUCCAGGGUCCAUGGAAAAGUUGUCUUUUUUUGUCCUUUUUUUUCAUACAUCCACCCACCCAGUGGCCAAGUUGGAUGUUUUUUU
Long non-coding RNA from Oncorhynchus tshawytscha (Chinook salmon), 554 nucleotides. Lineage: Eukaryota; Metazoa; Chordata; Actinopteri; Salmoniformes; Salmonidae. The record is from Ensembl.